Molecule: ribosomal RNA, 433 nt
Filed under: uncultured bacterium
Lineage: Bacteria
Description: partial 16S ribosomal RNA
Rfam family: Bacterial small subunit ribosomal RNA
Source: RNAcentral
AACGAACGCUGGCAGCAUGCCUAACACAUGCAAGUCGAACGAGACCUUCGGGUCUAGUGGCGCACGGGUGCGUAACGCGUGGGAACCUGCCCUUAGGUUCGGAAUAACUCCCCGAAAGGGGUGCUAAUACCGGAUAAUGUCUUCGGACCAAAGAUUUAUCGCCUUUGGAUGGGCCCGCGUUGGAUUAGCUAGUUGGUAGGGUAAAAGCCUACCAAGGCGACGAUCCAUAGCUGGUCUGAGAGGAUGAUCAGCCACACUGGUACUGAGACACGGCCCAGACUCCUACGGGAGGCAGCAGUGGGGAAUAUUGGACAAUGGGCGAAAGCAUGAUCCAGCAAUGCCGCGUGAGUGAUGAAGGCCUGAGGGUUGUAAAGCUCUUUUACACGGGAUGAUAAUGACAGUACCGGGAGAAUAAGCUCCGGCUAACUCCGUG